RNAcentral lists this long non-coding RNA (4866 nucleotides) under Paramuricea clavata. The record is from RNAcentral. Lineage: Eukaryota; Metazoa; Cnidaria; Anthozoa; Malacalcyonacea; Plexauridae.
AGGAGCUUAACGAGAAAUUACAGUGUAGGAGCCAUGGAGGCUGAAAAGCAAGAGCAGGCCGGAAAAUGUGUUUUCAAAAUUCAAACAAGAAGUAAAAGACAAAAAUGUUGAAAAUGUGAUAGCUGGCAAGAAAGGCGACCAUUUAGUGAAAGAUCUGAAGCGGCAAUUAAAAAUGGAACGAAAGAAAACAGAACAACUGUACAGCAAAGAUUGCAAGAAGCUUGCAAGGGAAAGUAAGUGUCUCGACAAUAUGUAUGCAUGUGUACGCAUGGAAAAGUUUAAACUUUAUAAAAACAGGUACGCGGAGCGUACAUGUUGCAAGCGCUGUGACUGAUGAGUUCAUUGGCGAAGUAAAUUUAAAAAUAAACAUUGUCUAAGCCGAGAAAAUCAAAGCUGAAGUUUUCGUAAAUCAGGAGAAAUCUUUAUCCGAUUUACAAACAUUGAUUAAACAUUCAUUUCUUUUGUAUUUUCCUCAUGAAUUAUUAAUGAUUUUUUAAUAGAGUUUAAUUUAAUAUAUAUCCAGCAAGCCUUUUGCGCUUGGUGAACAACCUUGAUUGAAAUAGCUGUAUAUGGCAAAAUGCUUAUAACAUGUUCAAAUUAAUCUGUUAUUUCAACUAUAUUUUAUUUAAAAAGUUCAAGUUAAUAACAUGGUAAAUGGCAAUUAAUGCCUUGAAUGAUGGAUAAAAUCAUGCCAGACGAUAGGUUGGUCAUGUGUACAGGAUCAAUAUCACUUCAGGUUGGCUUAAUUUUCUUGAUGGUCAUGCAAAAAUAGACGCUUGUAACUGUGCAUUGCAGAGGGUGGGAAAGGGUAUUUUCGUGAGCCGUGAAUGGUCAAUAUUUGUUCGCGUGAAAUGCUUGAUUUUAGUGUCGUGAAAUGUGAUUUGUUCUAAAGCCGUGAGGCGUGGUUGUUGAUAAAAAUGCUCCGUGAAAUGAGAAUUAAGGAUGCCUGUUUCGUGAACUGUGAUUAUUUUAAUAUAAAACAUGAUACGCGAUAAUCAAAUUUAUAUGAUCUCACUCGAUUGCACGUACAAGAGUAAAAACUUCGGAGGCCUUUCGCGAGGUUCCUGACGCUGAGGACAAGGUUCCUGACGCUGAGGACAAGGUUCCUGGCGGUGAGGACAAGUUCCUGGCGGUGAGGACAAGGUUCCUGGCGGUGAGGACAAGGUUCCUGGCGGUGAGGACAAGGUUCCUGGCGGUGAGGACCUGGCGGUGGUUCCUGGCGGUGAGGACGAGGUCCCUGGCGGUGAGGACGAGGUUCCUGGCGGUGAGGACAAGGUUCCUGGUGGUGAGGACAAGGUUCCUGGCGGUGAGGACAAGGUUACAGGCGGUGAGGACAAGGUUCCUGGCAGUGAGGACAAGGUUCCUGGCGGUGAGGACAAGGUUACUUGCGGUGNNNNNNNNNNNNNNNNNNNNNNNNNNNNNNNNNNNNNNNNNNNNNNNNNNNNNNNNNNNNNNNNNNNNNNNNNNNNNNNNNNNNNNNNNNNNNNNNNNNNNNNNNNNNNNNNNNNCACCAGUAGCGGUUUCGAUACGAUAUCGUCCAUUUUUAGCCACUUAUGCCAGUUUUCAUAAGUGGCCAAAAAAUAGCAAAAAAGUAAGGCUAUAGCCUUAACAUUUCGUCCAUUUUUAGCCACUUAUGUCAGGACAAGGUUCCUGGCGGUGAGGACAAGGUUCCUGGCGGUGAGGACAAGGUUCCUGGCGGUGAGGACAAGGUUCCUGGCGGAGGACAAGGUUCCUGACGGUGAGGACAAGGUUCCUGACGGUGAGGACAAGGUUCCUGACGGUGAGGACAAGGUUCCUGGCGGUGAGGACAAUGUUCCUUGCGGUGAGGACAAGGUUCCUGGCUGUGAGGACAAGGUUCCUGGCGGUGAGGACAAGGUUCCUGGCGGUGAGGACAAGGUUCCUGGCGGUGAGGACAAGGUUCCUGGCGGUGAGGACAAGGUUCCUGGCGGUGAGGACAAGGUUCCUGGCGGUGAGGACAAGGUUCCUGGCGGUGAGGACAAGGUUCCUGGCGGUGAGGACAAGGUUCCUGGCGGUGAGGACAAGGUUCCUGGCGCUGAGGACAAGGUUCCUGGCGCUGAGGACAAGGUUCCUAACGCUGAGGACAAGAUCCCUGGUGCUGAGGACAAGAUCCCUGGUGCUGAGGACACGCGCGGAGGUCGUCGUACAUUCUCGUCACUCAAACUUGUAAGCUAUGAUGUAGUUAAUAACUGACAGUUCAUGGAGAAAUGAGAGAACUUAAAGCGUAGAUACUGUACCAUGCAUUAAACAUAGUCUUAAUAAACAUAUUAUUAUAUUAUUUUAUGAGAAUCUAGUUUUCUGUGAAAUUGCUUUUUAAGAAACGUGAAUCGUGAAACGGCUUUUUUUUCGUUGUGAAACGUGAUCCAUACCCCCCCCCUUUCCGACCCUCAUUGCACUGUAGAUCAGUCGAAACACGACCCGAAUUACCAAGCUGAAAUGUCAUUGAACUUCUACUUGUGACCAGGCGCUUUUUGCCUCAUUUGGCUUUAUCUAUCAUUUGACCAUGCAUUUUCAUUCUGAUAUAUUCGCUUGUGAUUUUUGAGUUUGCAUGUUUUUGAAACUACAGUAGAUUUGGUAAUAUUUUACACUGGAGAAGUAUAAAAAAUGCUCCACCAUAUAACAUUUUCAAAUUAAUCUGUUUGUUUCAACUAGUUAUAUUUAACAAGUUCAAAUUAAUACCAUCAUGCAUGCAUAAUGGCAAUCCCUUGACUGAUGGAUAAAGUCACGUCAGACGACAUGUUCGCCAUAUGUAUAUAUGAUUCAUGAUCUCACUUCAGCUUGGUUUACUUGAUGGUCGUGCAAAAACAGGCACUUGUCACUGUGCAUUGCGCUUAGUAGAUCAGUCGAAACACGACCCAAAUUACCAAGCUGAAAUGUCAUUGAACUUCUUCUAUACUUGUGACCAUGCAGCUUUUUGCCUCUGACUGGCUUUAUCUACCAUUUUCAUUUUGAUAUUCACUGUGAUUUUUGAGUUUACAUGUUUUUCAAACUAGAUUUGAUAAUAUUUUACACGUAUAAAAAAUGCUCCACCAUAUAACAUGUUCAAAUUAAUCUGUUGGUUUCAACUGUAUUUAUAUAUUUAAAAAGUUCAAAUUAAUACCAUGCACAAUCGCAAUGCCUAGUUGACGGAUGGAUACAAUCACGUCAGACGAUAGGUUGGCCGUAUACGUACAGGAUCGAUAUGUCACUUCAGGCUUGGCUUGAUGGUCGUGCAAAAAUAGACACUUGUCAUUACGCAUUGCGCUGUAGAUCAGUCAAAACACAAUCCGAAUUACCAAGCUGUCAAAUGUCAUUGAACUUCUACUUGUAACCAGCUUUUUGGCUCUGUGGCUUUAUCUAUCAUUUGACCAUUUUCAUUCUGACAUUCACUUGUGAGUUUUGAGUUUACAUGUUUUUCAAACUAGAUUUGAUAAUAUUUUACACUGGAGAAGUAUAAAAAAUGCUCCACCAUGUAACAUGUUCAAAUUAAUCUGUUGGUUUCAACUACAGUAUAUAUAUUUAUAUUUAAAAAGUUCAAACUAAUACGAUGUAUAAUACCUUUUCCCAACGGUAACGUUAGUGGUCCCCCUUUGUUACCCCUAGGUUUGCCUGUGGCAGGGUUUAUUUUAAGUAAAAUUUAGAACUGCACAUAUUAGGGAUGUUACAAAGCAUCGCGUAUUUGACUGAGGGGUCAAAGGGUGUUUGACUGGGGGUCAAAGGAUUUUUAUCUAUAUUUAACGUUGUAAAUUUAUAUUUAACGUUGUAAAUUAUGAUAGACUUAAUUUGUAUAUAGGUGGAAGAAUAAAGGUGCAGUUGGGUGGGGCCUGACAAACUCGAUUCUGGGUGGGGGAGUUACAGGUAGGGGGUUUCCUCCAAAUUUUGAAUCUAGAGGCUCGUAAGUUCUGGCAAAGAUUUGUUUCACCCAACCACCCACAAAACAUGCAACUGGGAAUCAAAACAUGGUUUACACUGGGUUUCAAAACAUGUAACUGGGAAUCAUGAAUACUCUGAUAUAUAAUAACCUUAGGCAGCAAAGAAUAUCAGGUUCCACCACUCUGAUCUCUUUUGAAUAGCUUCGCUCGCCCCAAUUUUACCUCUUGUUCCAUUACCCCAGCACGUAUGUGAUUUGUGAGGAAAAUAUGCGGGUCUGGUGGUCCUCUCCGAGAAAACAUUUAGAUUUUUGAUGCUCAAUGACAGCAUUUCUGCUAUCUGGAGCAUCCACAAGGAAAACGAGUAAAUGAGAAAACUGUUUUGAGGUUAUAUUUUUCUUAAGUUGCUGACUGCACAUUUGAGUUUUAAGAACUGCACAUUUGGGUUUAGAACUGCGCAUUUUGUGUAGAACUGCGCGUUAAAAUAAACCCUGGUCGCCCUGUGGUCCCCCCUGUGCAUUAGACCAUAAUUUUUUAAAACCGAUUGAAAUUAAUUGUUUUGACAAUUUUCAGAAAGUUUGGAGUAACUUUGAGUUUGGAGUAACUUUGUUUUGAGGCCCCUUUGCUAAGCCUACGGUACCCUGUGGUCCCCUCUUUGCAUUUGACCGCAGUUUUUUAAAACAUGUUUUUAUCGAUCGAAAGUAAUUGUUUUGAUGAAAGGAAAUGUUUUCGACAAUUUUCAGAAAGUUUCGACUAACUUUGUGGCGGUUUUUGAAUGUUUUUGAAUUUUUGAAAAAUUUCCUGUGGUCCCCAUUUGCUAAGCCUUGGGUUGCUGUUGUCCCCCUAGCUCCUUUGUAUUUGAUGAAACUUUUCCUGUUUUACUUUUAACUGAAAAGUUUUGUUUCAUUUUAGGAUAUGGACUUAUUAACAAAAGGGCAAGAGUCAAGCAGGCAAGGACAGUCAUCAGAACAUGUCCGGACAUAUGUACCUCUAUAUCAAC